GAGGUAUGGGAUGCGGCCUGUACGCAGAACCUUUCAUGAGCUCCGAGUGAAAAGAGGUUAUUGCAGAUCAUGUGCCAAUACUCUUCACAUCCUGGAAAGACUACAGACUGCUAUAUAGAGAUGCAGACUCAAGAAGUCCGGCUAGGAGGACACCAGUGGCUGUGGUCAGCUACCUUUGAACAUGUCUUUACAUUUUGAUACUUUGUCAGAAAGAACCUAGAGACCAUCUCCAGGAGACUCCAGCGUCCCGAAAUCUGGUAACAGUUCCUGGUAGGAUGAUCAAAUUCUGUAAAACAAGCAUGAAUUCCAAAGCGGAGCGGCAAUCAGAGCAGCGGUGUGUGAGCAGCUGGCGUGUGCGUGGGCGUGAGGCUGAAGGCACCCAGUCCUCUGGGUGCCAGUGGCAGGUGUUUGGGGUUCAAUCUUAGCUCUGGGGAUUGCUGAGUGACCGACGCACUGAUCUUUUCUGUAGAGAUGGCCUGCAUGUCCCUGGGUAUUUUUUCUAAGUAUAAUUCCCUAGCUGUGUUUAUCAACUCUAUCAGAAAUUGUGCAAACUACCUAGUGCCUUGUAAUAAUUAUCUUGCUGGAAUUGAAACUGAAUUUGAUGGAUUGUAUUUUCUUGUUUACAAUUAAGAACUGCAAUGUGAAGUGUGAUUGAAAAAUACUGAGAUGUGUUAUGGACACGUAACCAUUCCCCAUGAUGAAAGUGAUCAUUAUGCUCUGCAGAUGUGUACUA
Long non-coding RNA from Chinchilla lanigera (long-tailed chinchilla), 733 nucleotides. RefSeq lists it as uncharacterized. The transcript is spliced from 3 exons. NCBI's taxonomy places the organism in Eukaryota, Metazoa, Chordata, Mammalia, Rodentia, Chinchillidae. The record is from RefSeq and is a predicted model, not a curated record.